GGCGGCAGGCCUAACACAUGCAAGUCGAGCGGAAACGACACUAACAAUCCUUCGGGUGCGUUAAUGGGCGUCGAGCGGCGGACGGGUGAGUAAUGCCUAGGAAAUUGCCUUGAUGUGGGGGAUAACCAUUGGAAACGAUGGCUAAUACCGCAUAAUGCCUACGGGCCAAAGAGGGGGACCUUCGGGCCUCUCGCGUCAAGAUAUGCCUAGGUGGGAUUAGCUAGUUGGUGAGGUAAUGGCUCACCAAGGCGACGAUCCCUAGCUGGUCUGAGAGGAUGAUCAGCCACACUGGAACUGAGACACGGUCCAGACUCCUACGGGAGGCAGCAGUGGGGAAUAUUGCACAAUGGGCGAAAGCCUGAUGCAGCCAUGCCGCGUGUAUGAAGAAGGCCUUCGGGUUGUAAAGUACUUUCAGUUGUGAGGAAGGGGGUAGCGUUAAUAGCGCUAUCUCUUGACGUUAGCAACAGAAGAAGCACCGGCUAACUCCGUGCCAGCAGCCGCGGUAAUACGGAGGGUGCGAGCGUUAAUCGGAAUUACUGGGCGUAAAGCGCAUGCAGGUGGUUCAUUAAGUCAGAUGUGAAAGCCCGGGGCUCAACCUCGGAACUGCAUUUGAAACUGGUGAACUAGAGUACUGUAGAGGGGGGUAGAAUUUCAGGUGUAGCGGUGAAAUGCGUAGAGAUCUGAAGGAAUACCAGUGGCGAAGGCGGCCCCCUGGACAGAUACUGACACUCAGAUGCGAAAGCGUGGGGGAGCAAACAG
This 759-nucleotide ribosomal RNA is filed under the name Vibrio sp. UCH-54. Its description in RNAcentral is "bacterial SSU rRNA". It matches the Rfam family "Bacterial small subunit ribosomal RNA", at positions 38 to 775 of the family's 1533-position model. The record is from RNAcentral. Lineage: Bacteria; Pseudomonadati; Pseudomonadota; Gammaproteobacteria; Vibrionales; Vibrionaceae.